AAGCAUAUCAAUAAGCGGAGGAAAAGAAACUAACAAGGAUUCCCCUAGUAACUGCGAGUGAAGCGGGAAAAGCUCAAAUUUAAAAUCUGUCAGCCUUUGGUUGUCCGAGUUGUAAUCUAGAGAAGUGUUAUCCGCGCUGGACCGUGUACAAGUCUCCUGGAAUGGAGCGUCAUAGAGGGUGAGAAUCCCGUCUUUGACACGGACUGCCAGGGCUUUGUGAUGCGCUCUCAAAGAGUCGAGUUGUUUGGGAAUGCAGCUCAAAAUGGGUGGUAAAUUCCAUCUAAAGCUAAAUAUUGGCGAGAGACCGAUAGCGAACAAGUACCGUGAGGGAAAGAUGAAAAGAACUUUGGAAAGAGAGUUAAACAGUACGUGAAAUUGCUGAAAGGGAAACGCUUGAAGUCAGUCGCGUUGUCCAGGGAUCAACCUUGCUUUUGCUUGGUGUACUUUCUGGUUAACGGGUCAGCAUCAAUUUUGACUGUUGGAAAAAGAUCAGGGGAAUGUGGCAUCUUAGGAUGUGUUAUAGCCCUUGGUUGUAUACAAUGGUUGGGAUUGAGGAACUCAGCACGCCGCAAGGUCGGGUAUUUAUUUAUCACGUACGUGCUUAGGAUGCUGGCAAAAUGGCUUUAAUCGACCCGUCUUGAAACACGGACCAAGGAGUCUAACAUGCCUGCGAGUAUUUGGGUGGAAAACCCGAGCGCGCAAUGAAAGUGAAAGUUGAGAUCCCUGUCGUGGGGAGCAUCGACGCCCGGACCAGACCUUUUGUGACGGUUCCGCGGUAGAGCAUGUAUGUUGGGACCCGAAAGAUGGUGAACUAUGCCUGAAUAGGGUGAAGCCAGAGGAAACUCUGGUGGAGGCUCGUAGCGAUUCUGACGUGCAAAUCGAUCGUCAAAUUUGGGUAUAGGGGCGAAAGACUAAUCGAACC
Molecule: ribosomal RNA, 922 nt
Filed under: Phlegmacium memoria-annae
Lineage: Eukaryota; Fungi; Basidiomycota; Agaricomycetes; Agaricales; Cortinariaceae
Description: Cortinarius memoria-annae partial large subunit ribosomal RNA
Rfam family: Eukaryotic large subunit ribosomal RNA
Source: RNAcentral